RNAcentral lists this ribosomal RNA (1222 nucleotides) under metagenome. RNAcentral describes it as "bacterial LSU rRNA". It matches the Rfam family "Bacterial large subunit ribosomal RNA", at positions 1715 to 2925 of the family's 2925-position model. The record is from RNAcentral.
GGGCAAAUUAAUACCGUAACUUCGGGAUAAGGUUUGCCCCUAGUAGGUGAACGUGUACAACGGGAGCCAAAUGGGGUUGCAAGAAAUCGGUGGCUGCGACUGUUUAACAAAAACACAGCACUCUGCAAACACGUCAAGUGGACGUAUAGGGUGUGACGCCUGCCCGGUGCCGGAAGGUUAAGUGAUGGGGUGCAAGCUCUUGAUCGAAGCCCCGGUAAACGGCGGCCGUAACAAUAACGGUCCUAAGGUAGCGAAAUUCCUUGUCGGGUAAGUUCCGACCUGCACGAAUGGCGUAACGAUGGCCACACUGUCUCCUCCUGAGACUCAGCGAAAUUGAAGUGUUUGUGAUGAUGCAAUCUCCCCGCCGCAAGACGGAAAGACCCCGUGCACCUUUACUGCACCUUUGCAUUGGACUUUGAUGAUCUCUGUGUAGGAUAGCUGGGAGGCUUUGAAGUGGUGGCGCUAGCCAUCAUGGAGCCGACGUUGAAAUACCAGCCUGAUAUUAUUGAGGUUCUAACCUUGACCCGUGAAUCCGGGUCGGGGACCGUGCAUGGCAGGCAGUUUGACUGGGGCGGUCUCCUCCCAAAGAGUAACGGAGGAGUGCGACGGUACGCUUAGCGCGGUCGGCUAUCGCGCUGUAUGUGCAAUGGCAUAAGCGUGCUUAACUGCGAGACUGACAAGUCGAGCAGGUGCGAAAGCAGGUCAUAGUGAUCCGGUGGUUCUGUACGGAAGGGCCAUCGCUCAACGGAUAAAAGGUACGCCGGGGAUAACAGGCUGAUUCCUCCCAAGAGUUCAUAUCGACGGGGAAGUUUGGCACCUCGAUGUCGGCUCAUCACAUCCUGGGGCUGUAGCCGGUCCCAAGGGUAUGGCUGUUCGCCAUUUAAAGUGGUACGUGAGCUGGGUUCAAAACGUCGUGAGACAGUUUGGUCCCUAUCUGCGGUGGGCGCUGGAAGUUUGAGGGGGGCUGCUCCUAGUACGAGAGGACCGGAGUGGACGAACCUCUGGUGUACCGGUUGUCACGCCAGUGGCAUCGCCGGGUAGCUAAGUUCGGAAGAGAUAACCGCUGAAAGCAUCUAAGCGGGAAACUUGCCUCAAGAUGAGACUUCCCAGGGACUUGAUCCCUCUAAAGGGUCGUGGAAGACCACCACGUUGAUAGGCCAGGUGUGUACAAGGAGUAAUCCUUUUAGCUAACUGGUACUAAUUGCCCGUGCGGCUUGAUCCU